UUGACCUCGGAUCAGGUAGGAAUACCCGCUGAACUUAAGCAUAUCAAUAAGCGGAGGAAAAGAAACCAACAGGGAUUGCCUCAGUAACGGCGAGUGAAGCGGCAACAGCUCAAAUUUGAAAUCUGGCUCCUUCGGGGCCCGAGUUGUAAUUUGCAGAGGAUGCUUCGGGUACGGGUUCCUUCCGAGUUCCCUGGAACGGGACGCCAUAGAGGGUGAGAGCCCCGUCUGGUAGGACACCCAGCCCGUGUGAAGCUCCCUCGACGAGUCGAGUAGUUUGGGAAUGCUGCUCUAACGGGAGGUAUACUCCUUCCAAGGCUAAAUACCGGCUGGAGACCGAUAGCGCACAAGUAGAGUGAUCGAAAGAUGAAAAGCACUUUGAAAAGAGAGUCAAAUAGCACGUGAAAUUGUUGAAAGGGAAGCGCUCGCUACCAGACAUGGGUUCGGCGGUUCAACCGGGGCCACGCCCCGGGGCACUCCGCCGGCCCAGGCCAGCAUCAGCUUUCCGUCGGGGGCAAAGGCGUCGGGAAUGUGGCUCUCCUUCGGGGGAGUGUUAUAGCCCGGCGUG
This 565-nucleotide ribosomal RNA is filed under the name Gibellulopsis serrae. RNAcentral describes it as "partial 28S ribosomal RNA". It matches the Rfam family "Eukaryotic large subunit ribosomal RNA", at positions 1 to 572 of the family's 3401-position model. Lineage: Eukaryota; Fungi; Ascomycota; Sordariomycetes; Glomerellales; Plectosphaerellaceae. The record is from RNAcentral.